UGUAAUCUGGACAUCACAGAACAUGAACAUCACAAAAUUUGUACAUCACAGAACAGGAACAUCACAAAAUUUGUACAUCACAGAACAUGAACAUUACAAAAUCUGGACAUCACAGAACAUCACAAAAUUUGUACAUCACAGAAAUGAACAUCUGAACAAAAUCUGGACAUCACAGAACAUGACACAUCACAAAUGAGGUUAACCAUGACCAAGCCAUACAAUAUAUACAGAUUUCUGGCCGCACACUUAACAUCCUCUUUCCAGAAUUUUAAUCCCAAUGACGCCACUUAUACAACUUGACCAUCACUAUCCUCGUUGUUCUAUCUUUCUUCUUUGUCUUCUCUGACCAAACUUUUCAUCAUUAAUUUGAUGCACAUAGAGAGAUCAAAGAUGAAGCUGGCUUACCUUGAGUUGUGAGGUGGAGCAUGGGAAGAGGACAGUAGGCACCGAGCCGGCGACCAACGUGGAAGAGGACGAGGUGGUGAGAAACUGCAGAUUAGAUGGUGGUGACGAAUUGCGAGGCGGAGCACGGCAUGGAUGGCCGCGUCAAGAACGGUGAAGCGAUGGGGGAGGGUCGAGGUUGGCAGCGCGGCGCGACGGAUGGGGCACGGCGGUUGGCGGCUUGAUGCUGGUCGUCAGCGCCUCACCGGUCCUAGGCGCGGCUCCAGGCGCCGGCAGGGGCGCGCGGCGCGCCUCGGUGCGGCGGUCACGGGCUGAUGGCUCGCGGGGAUUGAGGCAUCGGGCCUCAGCGGUGGGCGGCGGCUAGGGUUCGUCGCGUGGGAGAGAAAAGAGGAGC
Molecule: long non-coding RNA, 796 nt
Filed under: Triticum aestivum (bread wheat)
Lineage: Eukaryota; Viridiplantae; Streptophyta; Magnoliopsida; Poales; Poaceae
Description: long non-coding RNA (TAES_LNC002454)
Source: RNAcentral